RNAcentral lists this long non-coding RNA (1736 nucleotides) under Homo sapiens (human). RNAcentral's name for it is "HSALNT0265167". Lineage: Eukaryota; Metazoa; Chordata; Mammalia; Primates; Hominidae. The record is from RNAcentral.
GUCUAAGGUAAUAGGACAUUAAGUGCUUCUUUUAAUUUAGGCUGUAUGAUUCUUUUCUUCCUUUUUUCUCUUAACAUAAAAACACUAACAUUUUUAUUUAUUCAUCUAUUUAUUAUUUAUUUUUAGAAACAGGAUCUCACUAUGUUGCCCAAGCUGGUCUCAAACUCCUGAGCUCAAGUGAUCCUCCUGCCUCAGCCUCCUGAGUAGCUGGGACUGGAGGCACGCGCCACUUCUAUGCUUGGCAGCACAGUCCUCUUCAAAAAGAACCCUGCCAUGGUCUGUGCUGCUGACAAGCCUGGACUCUGCAUCCUCCUGCUGUCUUCAGUUUCCUCACCUCUUAACACAGGUUGGUUACUAUGGAGAUCAUGACAUCAGUCAUCUUGACUAAGCUUAAUGGUCUUGAGGCAACAUUCAGACUAAAAGUUUUGAUACUUAAAGUGGCUCAACCCUGGAGAAUGAGAGCAGAUUGAGAACUGAGGACUGUGGGCUUCAAGCUGCUUCUCUAAUGGAACACAGAGGUGAAAGGCAGUCCCUGCCCACUCGACCAAGGCCACGUGGGGCAGCCCUUUGGGAGGACCGCGCCCCCGGCUAACCAGGCAGAUAACGGGUUGCAAGAAGGUUUUUUGAGUCUGAAAAGCCUGACUGUUAUGCAUCAAAAGUCAAAGUUGAUGCUUCCAAUGACAGAUGCAGAAGAACACAUGGGGACAGCGAGCCCACUGUCUGAGGACCAGGAGGAGGAAAGCCAGAGGGGAAGAAGGAGAAAUCAGUGCAGCGCAGCCCUCUCCUUCCUCUGGCUAAGGCCAGGAAAGUGGAAGGAAGGGGGCAGGAUCCCUACAAAGAUUUUGGAGAAUACAGGAAGGAGACUGCCUCACAAGGGAGACUCUACUGCCACCUUGUCCUGGGAAGAGUCCAGUGGAGAUGGCUGAGGGAACUUCCUGGAUGAGGAAGGAAAUGAGGCAGCAAUGAGCUUCUGAAAGCCCAAAGCAAGGAAAGCGGAGAGGAAGAGAGCACGUAGCUCCAGGGAACACAAGGCCACACUCAGACUGGCCUCAAGGCUGUGAGGAUGGGAUUCUUCUGCAGCAAGCAGUGAGGGCUGCGGGGGCCUGGAUGCCAGGACAAGGGGUGACUUUGCCUGAGGACAAAAGCUGAUGUUCUGAACUCAGGAUUCCUGUGAGGACAGGCACUACCCAAGCAGCAGGUACCUCCCCUCCCAGCCUCCUCCCCGCCUGCCACGAUGCCAUGACAUUCCAUGUCCAUGAGCUCCUGAGAACUUGGAUGUCUUUCCUACCUGCCUAAAAACAUGAAAGAAGAAAUCUCCCAAAUGGACUCAAUGUAAACAUUAAAUGAUUAAAUUUACCCAGAAUUGAUGGAGGUUACUUUUACUCCCAUCAGGUGGAAUAAAGGCUCAAAGCAGAGACUCAGCUCAAUUAGAAAAAAAUAGGAAAAUAAAAGAUGUAUCCUUUUGCACACCUGGUUACUUGUCUUAAAAAUCUGUAUCUGACAUAAAAAAGAGGGUUUGUUGUAUAUCUCUGUACUCUGUAUGUUGCUUAGAUAAAGCAACAUAUUGCCAAGAGAAAUCAUCUUUUUCAAUUCAGGAAUCACAAGUUUUCAUUUUCAAAUUCUAAAACUUUAUGCUUUUUGAUUAAAGAGAUAGUAACUUUACCUUUGACUGAGCAAUACCAUUUCCAGGAAUUUGUUCAAAGGAAAUCAAAACAAAUGUGCUGAAAAAUAAUAAG